This 293-nucleotide ribosomal RNA is filed under the name uncultured bacterium. RNAcentral describes it as "partial 16S ribosomal RNA". It matches the Rfam family "Archaeal small subunit ribosomal RNA", at positions 455 to 747 of the family's 1478-position model. The record is from RNAcentral.
GUGCCAGCCGCCGCGGUAAUACCGGCAGCCCAAGUGAUGUCCCAUCUUAUUGGGCCUAAAGCGUCCGUAGCUGGCCGAGCAAGUCUCCCGGGAAAUCCACCCGCCCAACGGGUGGGCGUCCGGUGGAAACUGGACGGCUUGGCACCGGAAGGCUCAGAGAGUACGUCCGGGGUAGGAGUGAAAUCCCGUAAUCCCGGACGGACUACCGAUGGCGAAAGCACUCUGAGAAGACGGAUUCGACAGUGAGGGACGAAAGCUCGGGUCUCAAACCGGAUUAGAUACCCCAGUAGUCC